This 876-nucleotide ribosomal RNA is filed under the name Deltaproteobacteria bacterium CG2_30_43_15. Its description in RNAcentral is "bacterial SSU rRNA". It matches the Rfam family "Bacterial small subunit ribosomal RNA", at positions 1 to 845 of the family's 1533-position model. The record is from RNAcentral. Lineage: Bacteria; Deltaproteobacteria.
UUAAAGUGGAGAGUUUGAUCCUGGCUCAGAAUGAAUGCUGGCGGCGUGCCUAACACAUGCAAGUCGAACGAGAAAUUUCCCUGAGUAAUCAGAGAAAAAGUAAAGUGGCAGACGGGUGAGUAACAGGUGGGCAACCUGCCCUUAAAUUGGGGAUACCCCAUCGAAAGGUGGGCUAAUACCUAAUAAGACUACAACUACUCAGGUGGAUGUAGUAAAAGAUGGCUUUUAAAGAGCUUUCGUUUAAGGAGGGGCCCGCCUACCAUUAGCUAGUUGGUAGGGUAACGGCUUACCAAGGCGACGAUGGUUAGCUGGUCUGAGAGGAUGAUCAGCCACACUGGAACUGAGAUACGGUCCAGACUCCUACGGGAGGCAGCAGUGAGGAAUUUUGCGCAAUGGGGGAAACCCUGACGCAGCGACGCCGCGUGGGUGACGAAGGCCUUCGGGUCGUAAAGCUCUGUCGGGUGGAAAGAAAUAAAGUAGGGUUAAUAGCCUUACUUUUUGACGGUACCACCAAAGGAAGCACCGGCCAACUCCGUGCCAGCAGCCGCGGUAACACGGAGGGUGCAAGCGUUGUUCGGAAUUAUUGGGCGUAAAGGGCGUGUAGGCGGUUAAUUAAGUCAGAUGUGAAAGCCCUUGGCUCAACCAAGGAAGUGCAUCUGAAACUAUUUAACUUGAGUACGAUAAAGGGAAGUGGAAUUCCCAGUGUAGAGGUGAAAUUCGUAGAUAUUGGGAGGAACACCUGUGGCGAAGGCGACUUCCUGGAUCGAUACUGACGCUGAGACGCGAAAGCGUGGGGAGCAAACAGGAUUAGAUACCCUGGUAGUCCACGCCGUAAACGAUGGGCACUAGGUAUGGGAGGUAUUGACCCCUUCUGCG